AGAGGAUCCUCCCGACCCUUUGAAGAUCUCUCUCUUCGCUCAAUCUCCUUUGGCUUCGCGGCCCCUGCAAAAUCUCCUUUUCUUUUCGCUUUAUCCAGGAGACCCCAUCUGGAAGAUGAUCAUUGUGUCAUCAUAUGUUCUGAACCCCCCGAAUGCGUCGUCUGCUGCGGAAUGAGGGAGCUCCAGUGAUGGCAGAUUGCUGCAUGGUUUUCUCGAAUGCGGGCUUUCUCAUGGAGGCUCCGCGCACGAAUGGGUGAGACAUCGAGAGGAAGCUAGUGGUUCAACUCUACGCUCUUGAAGAUGGAGUUCAAUUGGGGAAAUCUUGCACGAGUGUGCAUGCUUGCUAAGAUUCCCAGCCAGUGCCUAUCCCGAAAACAGGUGCUGCAGCCAUGGGAUCCGAAUCCGAUGAGGACCCGAUUGCCUGUUGUUGUAGCUGGUGCUGGAUCGGGAAUGCUUCCUCGUUGAUCAGAGAGUUCAGGAACGAGGAGAACACAUCGUCCCCGCCGCAGUUGAGGUCCUCCUCCUCCUCGUUAGACAGUCCGUGGUGGCUGCUUCUCAAGCCCAUCACAUGGUAAUGCUCGGCACCCGGCAAAUAACCAGCUUGGCCGCCGUGAGCCGCCGCAGUCCCAUUUUGGUACACAGCCUCCAUGUUAUUCGCACUUUGGAGCUGAUCAUUUACUUUGAUGAUGGCUGGGCUGCCGCUGCUGGUUUCUUCGAGGCCGGAAGAGAUGGGGCUAGGGUUAGGGCUUCGGGGGCGAGGUGCCGGUUUGGCAGAAGGAGCUUUCGCCGGAGGAUUGCUGCUGGAGUUCUGGGUUUCUGGAUUGAGCGGCUUGUGUGUCCUCGGAUCGAUCCCUUGACUGAUGAGCUUCUUGCUCAGGCGCUGGUGGCGAAUCAGUGAGUGGAAGAGAGAAGUAAGCGAGCGACCAGAGCGAGCGAGGAUAUCGAAACCCUAAUCGGCCCCUCCCGAAACAUUUCAAGAUUCAAGAAUGCACGAAACCCUAGCCAAGAUCGAGAGAAGCUCAAACCCGGAUCGAUCCCGACUCGACGAUCUUCGAAAUCGGGUCGGGGAGGAGGAGGAGGAGGGUUACC
Molecule: long non-coding RNA, 1089 nt
Organism: Syzygium oleosum
Lineage: Eukaryota; Viridiplantae; Streptophyta; Magnoliopsida; Myrtales; Myrtaceae
Exons: 4
Source: RefSeq, a predicted model, not a curated record